GGGCUACACGGACCCAGGGGGCGGAGCUAUGCGGGACUCAGGCUGCCACUGCCAGGGCUUGCUGCUGCACAUGGCUGGAGAAGAGGAGAUCUGCCUGCUGCACACGGUGCACAACAUCCAGGUCUGACCCAGCCAUUGACACUGCAUUGGUCUCUGCUGUAGUGUAAGGGGUUGCCCAGCAACAGUGACAUACUGCACGGUGAUUGGCUCCCUGCCCGGCGUUGCCGACGGAAGUCAGAGCCCUGUGAGCACUGUACAUCGCGGUGGGAAGCGUAAUUGAUGACGUCUUCAGUUAGGGGUUGCCUAGCAACGGGAGCUACAUUCCCGCGAUUGGUUCCCCGCUCGCCGUAGCAGUUGUACGUCAUUACCCUGCGACUGGGACACCUCGCAGUUGGACCCGACAUCACCAUCGGCGCCUGGACAGACCAAGGGCUGCAGCAAAUUGGCUGGUUACUAACCGACACAUCAAUGGCACAUACAUACAGCAGUUUAUAGCACAUCUAUGAAACAUUGCAACCCAGCAGAGCAGAAAUGAAAAGUGGUGCAAGAUGGAAUUGUCCUUGGGCCCUCCCUCCCACCCUUAUGUUGGAUAUUAAAAAGGACAUGCACAGUGUAACAAACCGAGCACUUCAGUGAAAGGGACUGACACUUUUGUGGCUGAAGUGCUUGCUUUAUUUGGGCCCUUACAAGACAUUUUUCUGGAAGGAUUACAGUACAUCCAAUCACAAAUGAGGAGGGUGAUGAUAAGAGUGUUAAUUACAUUAUGAUCUUACAAAAUAAAUUUCACAAACUCUCCGCAAAUUAUGUAACAUGGAGGAGGUGCCUAGAUGGCAAAUGUCCCUGCCUCAACUAACUUUGACCUCACAAAUGGAGCAGAUGCUGGUGUCAAAGAAGGCCUGAAGUAACAUUUUGUAGAAUCAAUGAAAAAAGACAUCCACCACACCACGGAAGAAUGGCAUGUUGGCCAGCCUAUUAUAAAAAAAAAAAGUUACCAAGCGGUUCAAUUUGAUGGUGACCUGUAUGUAGAUGAGACCUGGAUGUACAUGAAGACCCGGAUGUACAUGAAGACCCAGAUGUACAUAAAGAACUGGUUGUACAUGAAGAACCAGAUGUACAUUUAGAACUGGAUGCCUGGCCAAUUUGUACUUCAAUACUACACCAUUGGCAUUGGGCAACGUGGCAAUGGAAGUUCCCACAUUUAGCAACAAUUCAAGUGUUGUUUCGCCUGGAAGACCCAUCAUGUUCAGCACAGUGGCACAGAUGGAACUAAUAGCCACAUUUGGAAAUGAUAUGCCUGAUAUGCCACUAGCAGUCAUCUCCACAGGCUUGUACAACAGUCUGUACAGUGCAUGCAAGGGAGAAAUACACAGAUACAAUAUGCACAAACUCUCUUCCAACACCAUGUGCAUUAUGAAUUGUUCUUGAUGUGGGCCACACGUGUCAACUAUGAUGGCACCAUCCUCUCAAGAUGCAACCAGCUAUACAGCACAAUCUGUGCACUGUACCUAUCCCACUAUGACUUUGUUCAUGUUAGCCUAAGUGUUGUGAUUGCUUGUGAUGUUAAUAAAAAAAACUUGAGAAAAAACA
Pseudophryne corroboree (corroboree frog) is the source of this 1587-nucleotide long non-coding RNA. RefSeq lists it as uncharacterized. Lineage: Eukaryota; Metazoa; Chordata; Amphibia; Anura; Myobatrachidae. The record is from RefSeq and is a predicted model, not a curated record. The transcript is spliced from 3 exons.